GAUGAAGAACGUAGCGAAAUGCGAUAAGUAAUGUGAAUUGCAGAAUUCAGUGAAUCAUCGAAUCUUUGAACGCACAUUGCGCCCGCCAGUAUUCUGGCGGGCAUGCCUGUUCGAGCGUCAUUUCAACCAUCAAGCCCUGCUUGCGUUGGGGUCCUGCGGCUGCCCGCAGGCCCUGAAAACCAGUGGCGGGCUCGCUAGUCACACCGAGCGCAGUAAUACAUCUCGCUUUGGGCGUGCGGCGGGUUCUUGCCGUUAAACACCCCCUUUUUACCAAGGUUGACCUCGGAUCAGGUAGGAAUAUCCGCUGAACUUAAGCAUAUCAAUAAGCGGAGGA
Molecule: unclassified non-coding RNA, 334 nt
Filed under: soil metagenome
Description: partial contains 5.8S ribosomal RNA, internal transcribed spacer 2, and large subunit ribosomal RNA
Rfam family: 5.8S ribosomal RNA (bases 1-120)
Source: RNAcentral